This 775-nucleotide non-coding RNA is filed under the name Grapholita molesta (oriental fruit moth). Lineage: Eukaryota; Metazoa; Arthropoda; Insecta; Lepidoptera; Tortricidae. The record is from RNAcentral.
AAUAAAUUUUUUAUGAUUUAUAUAAUUUUUUUUAAAUUUAUUUUACAUAUAAAUUUUAGUAUAUAAUUUUAAUUAUUUUAAUAAUAAUUAAUUUUUUUAAGUAGUAAUUAAUAUUAAAAAUUUAAGAAAUUAAGAUUUAGUAAUAUAAAAAUUAAUAACAAAUUUUGUGCCAGCAGUUGCGGUUAUACAAAAAUUAAAUUAAAUUUUAUUAGAUAUUAAUAAAUAAUUUAAAAAUUAAUUUAAAUAUGAAAUUAUUAGGUGAAAUUUUAAUUUAAUUAAAAAUUAAAAUUUAAUUAUGAAUUAAUAAAUUUUAUUAUAAACUAGGAUUAGAUACCCUAUUAUUAAAAAUUUAAAUAAAUAUUCUAAAAUAGUAGAUAAUUAUUUAUUGAAACUUAAAUAAUUUGGCGGUAUUUUAGUUCAUUUAGAGGAAUCUGUUUAUUAAUUGAUAAUCCACGAAUAAUUUUACUUAAUUAACAAUUUUGUAUAUCGUUGUUAAAAAAAUAUUUUUAAAAAAUUUUAAUAUUUAAAAAUUUAGAAUUGAAAUUAAAUCAGAUCAAGAUGCAGAUUAUAAUUAAGAAUAUAAUGGAUUACAAUAAAUUUAUUUAUAUGAAUAUUUUAUUGAAAAAUUAAAUUGAAAGUGGAUUUAAAUGUAAUUUUAUUUAGUUUAAUAAAAUGAUUAAAAAUUAAAAUAUGUACAUAUUGCCCGUCGCUUUCAUUUAUAAGUUGAAAUAAGUCGUAACAAAGUAGAGGUACUGGAAAGUGUUUCUAGAAAGAA